GUAAUUCCUGGCAUAUUUGCAUGUGGCGUAUUUGUGAUAUGUUUCAUCACUUGACUGGAUGAAAGUUAAUUACCUAAUUAACUACCCCAAUAACCCUCAAGUGAUUGUGCAUGGCAACGCUAACAAGAUAUGGAGCUCAAACUACAACGGCGCUUUCCCUUUGAAAAUCAUCGUGCAUGGAUGGAACACCGACGGAGGUGCCUGAAAUAACGUGCACUUGGUCGGGUUUAUUUUAGGAGCUCAUAUUUUUGGAACUGCUGGACUGCUGGACACAUGGCACGGAGAUGGCCGACAAGAGUUAUAGGUCUGGAUCCAGCUGACCUGGCUGGCGCGGCAAUGGCAACGCAUUGAACAAUCGCGAUGGCGUUUAUGUGGAAACGAUCCAUACUUGAGGGCGACCUUCUUGAUCUAACGGUGGAAAAAAAACCCUCAGCCUGGUUGGAUCAGCACCUGUUCCCAUUUACGGGCCACUGAACACUUUGCUGCUACCGUGUACCACAACCACCUGGUUGGAAAGCAAUUUCCAAAUGUCUGGGAAGCCGAAUUAAGCACAUCCUUUGAAGCUUCAUUUCACAUGGACAAUGGA
Molecule: long non-coding RNA, 586 nt
Organism: Cydia pomonella (codling moth)
Lineage: Eukaryota; Metazoa; Arthropoda; Insecta; Lepidoptera; Tortricidae
Exons: 3
Source: RefSeq, a predicted model, not a curated record